RNAcentral lists this ribosomal RNA (253 nucleotides) under uncultured bacterium. RNAcentral's name for it is "partial 16S ribosomal RNA". It matches the Rfam family "Bacterial small subunit ribosomal RNA", at positions 524 to 776 of the family's 1533-position model. The record is from RNAcentral.
GACAGAGGGGGCAAGCGUUGCUCGGAAUUACUGGGCGUAAAGGGCGCGUAGGCGGGAUGGCAAGUCGGUCGUGAAAUCCCUCGGCUCAACCGAGGAACGUCGAUCGAUACUGCUGUUCUUGAGGAUUGCAGAGGAGACUGGAAUUCCCGGUGUAGCGGUGAAAUGUGUAGAGAUCGGGAGGAACACCGGUGGCGAAGGCGGCUUCCUGGACCGACACUGACGCUGAGGCGCGAAAGCUAGGGGAGCAAACGGG